GGUGUUGUGGCUCAGUGGUGGAGUGCUUGCCUAGCAUGUGUGAGGCACUGGGUUUGAUUCUCAGCACCACCU
RNAcentral lists this transfer RNA (72 nucleotides) under Urocitellus parryii (Arctic ground squirrel). Its description in RNAcentral is "Spermophilus parryii (Arctic ground squirrel) tRNA". It matches the Rfam family "tRNA". Rfam says of the family: Transfer RNA (tRNA) molecules are approximately 80 nucleotides in length. Their secondary structure includes four short double-helical elements and three loops (D, anti-codon, and T loops). Further hydrogen bonds mediate the characteristic L-shaped molecular structure. tRNAs have two regions of fundamental functional importance: the anti-codon, which is responsible for specific mRNA codon recognition, and the 3' end, to which the tRNAs corresponding amino acid is attached (by aminoacyl-tRNA synthetases). tRNAs cope with the degeneracy of the genetic code in two manners: having more than one tRNA (with a specific anti-codon) for a particular amino acid; and 'wobble' base-pairing, i.e. permitting non-standard base-pairing at the 3rd anti-codon position. Lineage: Eukaryota; Metazoa; Chordata; Mammalia; Rodentia; Sciuridae. RNAcentral also lists the same sequence under 2 other names. The record is from Rfam by way of RNAcentral.